This 274-nucleotide ribosomal RNA is filed under the name uncultured bacterium. RNAcentral describes it as "partial 16S ribosomal RNA". It matches the Rfam family "Bacterial small subunit ribosomal RNA", at positions 523 to 796 of the family's 1533-position model. The record is from RNAcentral.
AUACGUGGGGAGCAAGCGUUGUUGGGAUUUACUGGGCGUAAAGAGCGCGUAGGCGGCUAAUUAAGUCAAAUGUGAAAUCCCCGAGCUUAACUUGGGAAUUGCAUUCGAUACUGGUUAGCUAGAGUGUGGGAGAGGAUGGUAGAAUUCCAGGUGUAGCGGUGAAAUGCGUAGAGAUCUGGAGGAAUACCGAUGGCGAAGGCAGCCAUCUGGCCUAACACUGACGCUGAGGUGCGAAAGCAUGGGGAGCAAACAGGAUUAGAAACCCCGGUAGUCC